RNAcentral lists this ribosomal RNA (253 nucleotides) under uncultured bacterium. Its description in RNAcentral is "partial 16S ribosomal RNA". It matches the Rfam family "Bacterial small subunit ribosomal RNA", at positions 524 to 776 of the family's 1533-position model. The record is from RNAcentral.
UACGUAGGGUGCGAGCGUUAAUCGGAAUUACUGGGCGUAAAGCGUGCGCAGGCGGUUUUUUAAGACAGGCGUGAAAUCCCCGGGCUUAACCUGGGAACUGCGCUUGUGACUGGAAGGCUAGAGUACGGCAGAGGGGGGUGGAAUUCCACGUGUAGCAGUGAAAUGCGUAGAGAUGUGGAGGAACACCGAUGGCGAAGGCAGCCCCCUGGGCCGAUACUGACGCUCAUGCACGAAAGCGUGGGGAGCAGACAGG